AAUCGGAAUUACUGGGCGUAAAGAGCGUGUAGGCGGAUAAUUAAGUCAGAUGUGAAAUCCUUGGGCUCAACCUAAGAACUGCAUUUGAUACUGAUUAACUUGAGUAUGGUAGAGGAAAGUAGAAUUUCCGGGUGUAGCGGUGGAAUGCGUAGAUAUCGGAAGGAAUACCAGUGGCGAAGGCGGCUUUCUGGACCAAUACUGACGCUGAGACGCGAAAGCGUGGGGAGCAAACAGGAUUAGAUACCCCUGUAGUCCUGGCCGUAAACGAUGAACACUAGGUGUCGGGGGAAUCGACCCCCUCGGUGUCGUAGCCAACGCGUUAAGUGUUCCGCCUGGGGAGUACGCACGCAAGUGUGAAACUCAAAGGAAUUGACGGGGGCCCGCACAAGCGGUGGAGUAUGUGGUUUAAUUCGAAGCAACGCGCAGAACCUUACCAACCCUUGACAUCCUAGGACAACUCCAGAGAUGGAGCCUUCCUUCGGGACCUAGUGACAGGUGCUGCAUGGCU
RNAcentral lists this ribosomal RNA (508 nucleotides) under uncultured bacterium. Its description in RNAcentral is "bacterial SSU rRNA". It matches the Rfam family "Bacterial small subunit ribosomal RNA", at positions 543 to 1050 of the family's 1533-position model. The record is from RNAcentral.